UAGGGAGUAUUGCGCAAUGGAGGAAACUCUGACGCAGCAACGCCAUGUGUGGGAUGACGCAUUUCGGUGUGUAAACCACUGUCGGCAGGGAAUAAACUAUAUCAAUGAUAUACUGAAGGUACCUGCAAUAGGAAGCACCGGCUAACUUCGUGCCAGCAGCCGCGGUAAUACGAGGGGUGCAAGUGUUGUUCGGAAUCACUGGGCGUAAAGGGAGCGUAGGCGGGAAAGCAAGUCAGGUGUUUAAUACCGGGGCCCAACUCCGGUGCUGCAUUUGAAACUGCUUUUCUUGAAUGUGAAAGAGGUAGAUGGAAUUCUUGGUGGAGCGGUGGAAUGCGUAGAUAUCAAGAGGAACACCAGUUGCGAAAGCGGUCUACUGGUUCAACAUUGACGCUGAGGCUCG
Molecule: ribosomal RNA, 400 nt
Filed under: uncultured bacterium
Lineage: Bacteria
Description: bacterial SSU rRNA
Rfam family: Bacterial small subunit ribosomal RNA
Source: RNAcentral